GCUGAGCAGUGCCAUGUGGUGCAGUGUGAUGCGGCAGUGCCAAGGCGCAGGGCUGGCGACGCUGGCCAUGGUGCUCCUGGUGGCUGUGGGCAGAGCCCAGGUGCAGCAGGAGCCGUUGGCAGAGGCCACCGAGGGCACCAGCACCAACAUCACCUGCUCACAUCCUAGCAUUGCUGCAGGCUCAACUCAGUGGUACCGGCAGCACCAGCACCAACCACCGCAGCUGAUAGCAAUGGGUGUCAGAGGCGAAAAAGUGGUGCUGGACCCACCAGGAACCCUGCUCAUCGCGGCAGACCGUCUCUCCAACACCCUGCGCCUUGCCCAGCCCCGCUGGUGGGACACUGCACUGUAUUACUGCGCUGUGAGAGACACACGGUGGCACCUGUGGCUGCCUGGCCAAGAGUGGGGCAGCGUGUUUUAUCGGACGCUCUGGAUGCUGGAGGUGGGAGCAGAGGAACCGGGCUCCCUUUUCCUCACCCGCAUUUCACUGCCUACCUCCUCAUCACUGGUGCUGCCUCCAGCUGGUCUGGACCAGGCCUAUGAGGAGUGA
Molecule: non-coding RNA, 550 nt
Organism: Rhea pennata
Lineage: Eukaryota; Metazoa; Chordata; Aves; Rheiformes; Rheidae
Source: the annotation of a RefSeq genome assembly